AUUGAACGCUGGCGGCAUGCUUUACACAUGCAAGUCGAACGGCAGCGCGGGCUUCGGCCUGGCGGCGAGUGGCGAACGGGUGAGUAAUGCAUCUGAACGUGCCCAGUAGUGGGGGAUAGCCCGGCGAAAGCCGGAUUAAUACCGCAUACGACCUGAGGGUGAAAGCGGGGGACCGAAAGGCCUCGCGCUAUUGGAGCGGCCGAUGUCGGAUUAGCUAGUUGGUGGGGUAAAGGCUUACCAAGGCGACGAUCCGUAGCUGGUCUGAGAGGACGACCAGCCACACUGGGACUGAGACAUGGCCCAGACUCCUACGGGAGGCAGCAGUGGGGAAUUUUGGACAAUGGGGGCAACCCUGAUCCAGCCAUGCCGCGUGCGGGAAGAAGGCCUUCGGGUUGUAAACCGCUUUUGUUCGGGAAGAAAGCCUCUGGGCUAAUACCCCGGGGGGAUGACGGUACCGGAAGAAUAAGCACCGGCUAACUACGUG
RNAcentral lists this ribosomal RNA (484 nucleotides) under uncultured bacterium. RNAcentral's name for it is "partial 16S ribosomal RNA". It matches the Rfam family "Bacterial small subunit ribosomal RNA", at positions 28 to 507 of the family's 1533-position model. The record is from RNAcentral.